RNAcentral lists this ribosomal RNA (800 nucleotides) under uncultured bacterium. RNAcentral describes it as "bacterial SSU rRNA". It matches the Rfam family "Bacterial small subunit ribosomal RNA", at positions 8 to 854 of the family's 1533-position model. The record is from RNAcentral.
AGAGUUUGAUCCUGGCUCAGAGCGAACGCUGGCGGCAGGCUUAACACAUGCAAGUCGAGCGGGCGUAGCAAUACGUCAGCGGCAGACGGGUGAGUAACGCGUGGGAACGUACCUUUUGGUUCGGAGCAACACAGGGAAACUUGUGCUAAUACCGGAUAAGCCCUUACGGGGAAAGAUUUAUCGCCGAAAGAUCGGCCCGCGUCUGAUUAGCUAGUUGGUGAGGUAACGGCCCACCAAGGCGACGAUCAGUAGCUGGUCUGAGAGGAUGAUCAGCCACAUUGGGACUGAGACACGGCCCAAACUCCUACGGGAGGCAGCAGUGGGGAAUAUUGGACAAUGGGCGCAAGCCUGAUCCAGCCAUGCCGCGUGAGUGAUGAAGGCCCUAGGGUUGUAAAGCUCUUUUGUGCGGGAAGAUAAUGACGGUACCGCAAGAAUAAGCCCCGGCUAACUUCGUGCCAGCAGCCGCGGUAAUACGAAGGGGGCUAGCGUUGCUCGGAAUCACUGGGCGUAAAGGGUGCGUAGGCGGGUCUUUAAGUCAGGGGUGAAAUCCUGGAGCUCAACUCCAGAACUGCCUUUGAUACUGAAGAUCUUGAGUUCGGGAGAGGUGAGUGGAACUGCGAGUGUAGAGGUGAAAUUCGUAGAUAUUCGCAAGAACACCAGUGGCGAAGGCGGCUCACUGGCCCGAUACUGACGCUGAGGCACGAAAGCGUGGGGAGCAACAGGAUUAGAUACCCUGGUAGUCCACGCCGUAAACGAUGAAUGCCAGCCGUUAGUGGGUUUACUCACUAGUGGCGCAGCUA